Long non-coding RNA from Xenopus laevis (African clawed frog), 800 nucleotides. RefSeq lists it as uncharacterized. The record is from RefSeq and is a predicted model, not a curated record. The transcript has 3 exons. Lineage: Eukaryota; Metazoa; Chordata; Amphibia; Anura; Pipidae.
CCAUGAAGAAGGUUCUGAAGACAAAAAAGGAGAGAAACCUGCACAGGAAUCUUCAGUUGAACACAAAGCAAGAAACCCAGGUGUCCGUUGUGUAUCUGGUCUUCAACCCCCGACGGACAAGUCAUUUCCACCAAGUCUCACACGUGUCUCCAGAACGAAGGCAUAAAGGACAUUUCCAACACUACCCCCCACCAUGGAAGUACCCAUAGAUAUCAAUACACUUGAACUGCAACACCCAAAACCCUAUGUGAGUGUGAGAAAGGGUAAGAAUCCUGUAUGUGAGUAUUUAUGUGAGUGUCUGUGUCCCCAGGAUUUGGCUGGAGCAGGACCCCGCCAUUGCUAAAACGCCUUUUGUCCAAGAAGUUCCCUCACCCCACUGGCCUCCCCAAUCAGGAUUUAGGAAUCGGAGGAGCUAUAGACCAAUCGGGUGAGGGAUGACAGGGGUGGGGCAGCAAUGAUUGGUCUGUUCUUUGCUGCCUCCUGCUGGAGGUGGUUGGUACAGUGAUUCUCUGCAGGCAAUCUACUAAACGGAGAUUAGUAAAUUGCCAGUAGAGAAAUAAGGGGAAAGCAUCUGUAUCACAGAAUGUAAGCUCCAAGGAUCAGUGUUGUGCACCCAAAGAUAUAAGUGGGCUUUUUUUAUUUUUUUCUAUUUAGGGAACGAUCUGGUUCCUGAUUCUAUAUACAGCUGAGAAAAACAGCCAAGGUAAGUCCGCGCCCAGGUCUGGAGACAGUGACUUAGAUUAGGAAUGUCCAACCUGCAACUAACUCCCAGCAACCUUAUGCUGAGAAUUGUAGUUACA